CCUUCUACACGCUUUGCUCUGCUUCCAUCUCUGAUUUUACCGUUUCUUCUUCUUCCUCUCGAUUUCCGUCGUGGUGAUCGCCGAUGGAGUCGGGUUCUUUGUUGCAGCGGUACCGUCGUGACCGGAAAAAGCUGCUGGCAUUCUUGUUGUCCUCGCGUUUUGUCAGAGAGCUGAGGACUCCGGCAGGUCCUGUCACUGAUUUCUCCGCCGUCGACCUUGACUCUCUGAGCGCUAGCUAUGUUUUGGAGUGCAUUAAGUCUGGUGGAGUUAUUGACAUUUCUACAGCUGCUAAGAAGAAGCAACAUGAAUCUUCUUACCCGAUAAUGAUACAAUCUCGACUACGGACUUCUUAUUUUCUACUUUCUCAUCCAGAUUUGUCUGGAUCACCUCCUAGCCGUGCGCCACCGCCACCUAAAAUGGUGGAGAGAUCCUCUAGUGACAUAUCGUGUUCAUCUAGGUCGCUUGGGUCAUCAGUUGAUGACAAUAUUGCAACCUAUAGUGAUGACUGUGGUCCUCAGUCUAAUGGAACAACAGCCACACCUUCGAAACUUGUGAAGGAUCUCAAAGUUCCGGCUUUAGGACUACCUAAGUUGUAUACAGGACUGACAGAUGAUGACUUGGAUGAAGCAGCAUAUUUAAUCUUGCUUGCAUCAAUCGCAUUUUCUGGGGUUGAAAUCUAUUCAUCUGAGGAUAAAAAGAAAGAAAAUGGUAUUACACAUACUGUAGGGAUGACAAGUAUAAGGAAUGAAGUAGAUGUUCAAUCAGAGAAUUUUGAAGGACAUUUGAAUUUUCUUCACGCUAUCCGCACCCAGAUGCAGAUUUCAGCAGUUUCUGAUGCAUGCAUGAGGAAAAGAUUAAUGGAAUUGGCUGCAAAGAGAAACUGGGGGCAAAUUAAUGUUCCUCAAGUUUUGUUGGUCCUCUUGCAUGGGGUUUUCAGGUCUGAUUUUCCUAGUGAGAAAGCUUAUAUGCAAUGGAAGUUCAGACAGGUCAAUCUUUUGGAAGAAUUCUGUUACUCUGCUAAUCUUGUAGCUUCUGAACGUCAAAUCUGUGAAAGUUCUCUUGUGAAGAUCAGAAGUACAAAGGAAUGGGAUAUCAAUAUGGUUCGAUCUGAGCGUGCAAAAGUAUUGUCAGGUAUUGGACAAGUACUGUCGAAGUUGCCAGCUCCCUCUGCUUAUCACUUAAACAUCAGGUUAUAUGAGAAAUUGAUUUUAGGCAUGUUUGAUGUUCUUGACGACAGCCAUCCCGUUAUGGAAGUGGAUGACAGUCUCGUCCUUCUCAAAUUGACUUGGUCUGCUUUAGGCAUCACUCCGGAAGUACACAGUGUGAUCUUCGGGUGGGUCCUUUUCCAUCAGUUUGUCAAGACAGGUGAAGCCUCAUUCUUGGACGAAGCCAUUCUUGAGUUACAGGAGGUUGCAUCAUCUAAAGAUGACGGUGGGAAAGAAGAACAAUAUUUGAAAAGCCUAUCAUGUUCAAUAUCAUGCAAUGGCAAUGAAAUGAAGUUGAGUUUGGUGGAGUCCGCCUUCUUCUUAAUUAGCAGUUGGUGUGACAUUAAACUACAAGCCUACCAUUUGCACUUCCGUGAGAAAACUUCUUACUUUGGGAAAGUGGUGAGCCUGUUGUCCACUGUUGGAGUUAUUACUGAUUGCAAUACUGUAAAGUUAACAAAAUUGGAUGGUUUGAAAGCAAUUGGGGCUAGAAAACUCAGAACCUAUGUCGAGAAGUCCAUAGAAGCUGCUUACAAAGAGGCAGAGAAUAAUGAAAAUUCUGAAUCCAAAGAGAGUAUACAUCCUCUGGCACUCCUUGCCAAUAGGCUACGAUUGGUUGUGGAGAAAGAAAUUACUGUAUUCUUCCCGGUUUUACGUCAAUUAUGUCCUGAUUCUGGGAUAAUUGCAGCCAUGCUAUUGCACCAAUAUUAUGGAGAAAAACUGAAGCCAUUCUUAAAGGAAGUAUCGAAGCUUUCAGAUGAUGUAAGGUCGGUGCUUCCAGCUGCCUAUUCCUUAGAUCGUGACCUAACUCAUUUAUUUACUGCUGCUUCCAAAGAAAGUAGAUUAAGCCCUCUUCUCAAGGAAGACCUUGAGCACUAUCCGAUUGUACAAAUUGCUAAGCCCAUAAUUCUUGACUGGAUGAUCGAUCAACUGGAACAAACCUCUGAAUGGACUGGACGUGCUUUCAAGUUAGAGGAUUGGGAACCAAUAUCGUUUCAGCAAAAUCUGGCAGCAUCAGUUAUUGAAGUUUUUAGAAUUAUUGAGGAGACUGUUGACCAGUAUUUUGACCUGAACCUUCCGAUGGACAUCACACAUUUGCAAGCUCUCCUGUCCAUUGUCUAUCACAGCUUGGAUGGCUAUCUAUCGGGUCUUCUCAACCAGUUAGUUGAGAAGAAUUAUUUGUAUCCACCUGUUCCUCCAUUGACUCGUUUUAUGGAGACAGUUGCAACAGGAAAGAAAAAGUUGCCCGAAUGUCAUUUAGACGAGCAUGUGAGCAGCAAAUUGAAUGGAUUGACGAUAUCUAAGCUUUGUAUAAAAUUGAAUACCCUUGGUUACAUUCAAAAACAAAUUGAAACACUGGAGGAUAGAAUUGGAAAAUCUUGGGCGCUUAUUGGAGGAUCUGCUAAGCAUAAACGCGCCCCGGAAGAGGCGACUGUCAAUGGUGGUCUUCGUACCUGUAGUGACGAAGUUAAUGAGUUGUUUGCCAACACUUUCAACAACAUUAAGAGUUUCAUUGCAAAGGCUAUCAGCAAGUUUUGUGACAUUACUGGCAUAAGAGUUAUUUUUUGGGAUCUCAGAGAUGAGUUCCUCUCGUAUUUGUAUCAUGGCAAUGUUGAUGCUGUUCGAUUAGAAGACGUUCUUGCGCAUCUUGAUACGGUCCUAAACAAUGUAUGUGGCAGGAUCGAUGAUACUCUUAGGGAUCUCGUGGUAUUGAGCAUCUGUCGAGCAUCAAUGGAAGCCUUCAUAUGGGUGAUGCUUAAUGGAGGUCCUUCACGUGCAUUUUCUGAUUCAGAUAUUGUUCUCAUUAAGGAAGAUCUCGGUAUAUUGAAGGACUUCUUUGUAGCUGAUGGAGAAGGUCUUCCCCGUACUCUUGUUGAGAAGGAAGCAAAAUUUGCUGAAGAAAUAUUGGGCUUAUAUUCACUUCCGACUGAAACUAUUAUUCAACUGCUGAUGAGCUCAGGUGGGGAUAUUUCUACGGAAUUGGAUCCGUGUAGUAAUAAUGGCAGUCUUCAUUUUAACGAUUCCCAGGCAUUGGUACGAGUCUUAUGCCACAAAAAAGAUACGGAAGCUUCCACGUUUCUAAAGCGAAAAUAUAAUCUCCCUGCUUCUUCAGAUGAAUGACUGUAGAGGGACAUAUUGUGAUGAGGGAGGAUAGAGAAUAAAAUGAACUUACAGGACAGGAAAAGUAAAAUUAGGCAAGCCUUGAUAAAUUUUUUGGAUUUAGAUUAUGAUAUGACCCCCUUGCAGGCCUCAACUCAGAGAUGACAUGACUUGUGACAAAUUCAAAGUGUGAUUCAUAAUUGAUAGAAAAUAGAAGGAUUUAGCAAUUUCCAACGAUGACUUUGCACGGUGGCUAGAAAGAAAGAGUAGGAAGGGAAAAUUGAGUUUGGUCCCAUGUGGCUAGAUUUUACUUGCCGAAGGCGAGUCUUAUGGGUGAUCCAAUCAAGAGUGGAGUUUUGCCUAUAAAUGUACAUAAUAUAUUUCAUUUUAUAAUAAAACGAAAAUUGCAUUUGUGUUUGAUUA
This is an RNA transcript of Cucurbita moschata (crookneck pumpkin), 3728 nucleotides long. RefSeq lists it as uncharacterized. The record is from RefSeq and is a predicted model, not a curated record. NCBI's taxonomy places the organism in Eukaryota, Viridiplantae, Streptophyta, Magnoliopsida, Cucurbitales, Cucurbitaceae. The transcript has 27 exons.